RNAcentral lists this ribosomal RNA (445 nucleotides) under uncultured archaeon. RNAcentral describes it as "bacterial SSU rRNA". It matches the Rfam family "Archaeal small subunit ribosomal RNA", at positions 942 to 1377 of the family's 1478-position model. The record is from RNAcentral.
AAUUAUAUGAAGGCCCAGGGUUGAUGACCCUUCCCUGAUUUUUCGNAGANGGUGGUGCAUGGCCCGCCGUCAGUUCGUACCGUAAGGCNUUUCUUGUUAAGUCAGAUAACGAACGAGACCCCUCAUCGCCAUUUGCUAGGCUCUUCUCAGGAAGGGUUGCACUAUGGCGAUACCGCCACUGCUGAAGUGGAGAAAGGAGGGGGCAACGGUAGGUCNGUAUGCCCCGAAUCUCCCGGGCUACACGCGCGCUACAAAGGGCAGGACAAUGGGCUUCGACGCCGAAAGGCGAAGGCAAUCCCGAAACCUGCUCGUACUUCGGAUUGAGGGCUGCAAUUCGCCCUCAUGAAGCUGGAAUCCGUAGUAAUCUCGGGUCAACAUCCCGCGGUGAAUAUGCCCCUGCUCCUUGCACACACCGCCCGUCAAACCAGAAAUAGUUGGGUCUGGA